CUACGUGCCAGCAGCCGCGGUAAUACGUAGGUCCCGAGCGUUGUCCGGAUUUAUUGGGCGUAAAGCGAGCGCAGGCGGUUAGAUAAGUCUGAAGUUAAAGGCAGUGGCUCAACCAUUGUAGGCUUUGGAAACUGUUUAACUUGAGUGCAGAAGGGGAGAGUGGAAUUCCAUGUGUAGCGGUGAAAUGCGUAGAUAUAUGGAGGAACACCGGUGGCGAAAGCGGCUCUCUGGUCUGUAACUGACGCUGAGGCUCGAAAGCGUGGGGAGCGAACAGGAUUAGAUACCCUGGUAGUCCACGCCGUAAACGAUGAGUGCUAGGUGUUAGACCCUUUCCGGGGUUUAGUGCCGUAGCUAACGCAUUAAGCACUCCGCCUGGGGAGUACGACCGCAAGGUUGAAACUCAAAGGAAUUGACGGGGGCCCGCACAAGCGGUGGAGCAUGUGGUUUAAUUCGAAGCAACGCGAAGAACCUUACCAGGUCUUGACAUCCCUCUGACCGCUCUAGAGAUAGAGUUUUC
Molecule: ribosomal RNA, 517 nt
Filed under: uncultured bacterium
Lineage: Bacteria
Description: bacterial SSU rRNA
Rfam family: Bacterial small subunit ribosomal RNA
Source: RNAcentral